UACAGAGGGGGCAAGCGUUGUUCGGAAUUACUGGGCGUAAAGGGCGUGUAGGCGGUUUUCUAAGUCAGGCGUGAAAUCCCCCGGCUUAACCUGGGAACUGCGUCUGAUACUGGGAGGCUUGAGUAUGGGAGAGGGAUGUAGAAUUCCAGGUGUAGCGGUGAAAUGCGUAGAUAUCUGGAGGAAUACCGGUGGCGAAGGCGGCAUCCUGGACCAUUACUGACGCUUAGGCGCGAAAGCUAGGGGAGCGAACCGG
This 253-nucleotide ribosomal RNA is filed under the name uncultured bacterium. RNAcentral's name for it is "partial 16S ribosomal RNA". It matches the Rfam family "Bacterial small subunit ribosomal RNA", at positions 524 to 776 of the family's 1533-position model. The record is from RNAcentral.